GCGGAAUGCUUUACACAUGCAAGUCGAGCGGCAGCGCGGGGCAACCUGGCGGCGAGCGGCGAACGGGUGAGUAAUGCAUCGGAACGUGUCCUAUCGUGGGGGAUAGCCCGGCGAAAGCCGGAUUAAUACCGCAUACGCCCUUAGGGGGAAAGCGGGGGACUUCGCAAGGAGCCUCGCGCGAUUGGGUCGGCCGAUGUCCGAUUAGCUAGUUGGUGGGGUAAAGGCCUACCAAGGCGAUGAUCGGUAGCUGGUCUGAGAGGAUGAUCAGCCACACUGGGACUGAGACACGGCCCAGACUCCUACGGGAGGCAGCAGUGGGGAAUUUUGGACAAUGGGGGCAACCCUGAUCCAGCCAUUCCGCGUGAGUGAAGAGGGCCUUCGGGUUGUAAAGCUCUUUUGUCCGGAGCGAAACGGGUGGUGUGAAUAGCGCCAUCUACUGACGGUACCGGAAGAAUAAGCACCGGCUAACUACGUGCCAGCAGCCGCGGUAAUACGUAGGGUGCGAGCGUUAAUCGGAAUUACUGGGCGUAAAGCGUGCGCAGGCGGUUUUGU
RNAcentral lists this ribosomal RNA (552 nucleotides) under uncultured beta proteobacterium. Its description in RNAcentral is "bacterial SSU rRNA". It matches the Rfam family "Bacterial small subunit ribosomal RNA", at positions 39 to 584 of the family's 1533-position model. The record is from RNAcentral. Lineage: Bacteria; Pseudomonadati; Pseudomonadota; Betaproteobacteria.